GACGAACGCUGGCGGCGUGCUUAACACAUGCAAGUCGAACGGAAAGGCCUGCUUUCCCUUGUGGAUUGCGGGUACUCGAGUGGCGAACGGGUGAGUAACACGUGAGUGAUCUGCCCCCAACUUGGGUAUAAGCCUGGGAAACUGGGUCUAAUUCCCGAUAGGACUGCAGGGUGGUGCCCGUGGUGGAAAACGAUUUUCUAGUGGUUGGGGAUGAGCUCGCGGCCUAUCAGCUUGUUGGUGGGGUAAUGGCCUACCAAGGCGGCGACGGGUAGCCGGCCUGAGAGGGUGGACGGCCACAUUGGGACUGAGAUACGGCCCAGACGCCUACGGGAGGCAGCAGUGGGGAAUAUUGCACAAUGGGCGGAAGCCUGAUGCAGCGACGCCGCGUGGGGGAUGACGGCCUUCGGGUUGUAAACUCCUUUCGACCGCGAGGAAGCCACCUGGUUGGAAGGGUGGUGACGGUAGUGGUAGAAGAAGCACCGGCUAACUACGUG
Molecule: ribosomal RNA, 494 nt
Filed under: uncultured bacterium
Lineage: Bacteria
Description: partial 16S ribosomal RNA
Rfam family: Bacterial small subunit ribosomal RNA
Source: RNAcentral